GGUGGCCGACUCCAAUUAAAUCAAGGAAUUAACUCAGCCUUGAAGAGUUUAAUUGAAAAUAAAACUCUGGUAGGUUGGAGCUAAUUUUAUGCGAUGGGAUCAGCUAGGAAAAGGGGGAUAAGAUCAAACUUAAUUUUCAAUUGUUGGAGGUUAAAAUCCCAUAAAUAGAGAUGACAGCAGCUAAAGGGGGGGUGGAAGAAAAAAACCAGAGAAAGAACAGAGCAAAAAGGCGUGACUCGAGCAAGCAAAACUCCUGAAAUUGAACCAGCAAAGGACGACCAAGGAGUUGAAGAAGCAGCCCGAAAUUUCAGCUAUUUGAGAGAAGGGGAAGCUCGACAACUUGAGGAAUUUUCCUUUCCAAAAUUCAGUUUGUAAUUCAUGUGUUUACAAAUUGAUUCUUGUUUUAUUUUACUUGUUAUGAGCAGCUAAUUUACUUAAGCUUAGUUAGACUCUUAUGAAAUCGAGCACAAGUGAUUUGAAGGUUUACUUUGUUCUAAAUUUGAAUUCGGCAUUCUUGAAUUGUUUGAUUUUAUCGUCCAAGGAAUUUUUCUAAGUCAAUUGGAUUGAUCACCUUUUUAAUUUGGGAAUUUUUCUUAUAAUCAUCUAUGUGCUAAUUGAGAAAUCGAAUUUCUUAAUUAAGCUUAGAAUUAGUGAUAAUUAAUUGGCCGCAGCUAAUUACGAC
RNAcentral lists this long non-coding RNA (682 nucleotides) under Gossypium raimondii (Peruvian cotton). RNAcentral's name for it is "long non-coding RNA (GRAI_LNC005369)". Lineage: Eukaryota; Viridiplantae; Streptophyta; Magnoliopsida; Malvales; Malvaceae. The record is from RNAcentral.